AUGAAUAAAGAGAGCAUGUGCUUCUCACAUGCUUGAAGAAGCCAAGUAUAUAUAUAGAUAGGAGAGGUCAUCUUUUUAAAUCAAGAAGUUGUAGAGAAAGGAAAAAAAAAUAUAGAAGAAGAAGAAAGAGGAGGGGCCAAUUCGGCCAAGAAGGAGGAGAAAGAGAAGACCAAAAAUCUUGCCCCAAAAAUUUAUUUCUCAUAGUAUUUCUACUAAUUCAAAGAUGCUCUCCAACAUGGUAUAAUUGUUGAAGCAAGAGAAUUAUUCUUUGGUGCAAAACUCCAACCUUAGCUAAGUUGAGAAGUUGUGAAGGAAAGAUUUUGGUGAAUUUGGAGCUUGAGUUUGGAGAAGCAAAAGGAGCGGAAAAGGUACUCCCAGAUGAUUAGAAGACCUUACUAAAGAUGUUCCAGCGGAGAUGGCGAACUCCACUUGUCCCGGAGAAUUGCCAAGUCCAAGUAUAUGCUAUGAUGUUCUGUUCUAUGUUAGAGACUUUGCAGACAAAGCAAUGGGUAUUGGGUUGUCAGUCUG
Long non-coding RNA from Lycium barbarum (goji berry), 528 nucleotides. RefSeq lists it as uncharacterized. The transcript has 3 exons. The record is from RefSeq and is a predicted model, not a curated record. NCBI's taxonomy places the organism in Eukaryota, Viridiplantae, Streptophyta, Magnoliopsida, Solanales, Solanaceae.